GUCUGCCAACCUGAAAAGCUGGAUGUUGACUCAGUGCAGAAUAUUGGAGAUGAGAACAGCAUCCCAGCGUGAAGCCGGGUUGCAGAGUGGCAGAAGCUUAGUGUUACAGAUGUCUUGAGUCACCCAUGAGGCCUG
This is a long non-coding RNA of Octodon degus (degu), 135 nucleotides long. RefSeq lists it as uncharacterized. The record is from RefSeq and is a predicted model, not a curated record. The transcript is spliced from 3 exons. Lineage: Eukaryota; Metazoa; Chordata; Mammalia; Rodentia; Octodontidae.